This 468-nucleotide ribosomal RNA is filed under the name uncultured bacterium. Its description in RNAcentral is "partial 16S ribosomal RNA". It matches the Rfam family "Bacterial small subunit ribosomal RNA", at positions 28 to 507 of the family's 1533-position model. The record is from RNAcentral.
GACGAACGCUGGCGGCGUGCUUAACACAUGCAAGUCGAACGGAAAGGCCCGGCUUUGGGGGGCUGCGCGAGGGGCGAACGGGGGAGCAACAUGUGAGUAAGCUGCCCUUGAGGGUGGGAUAACUUCAGGAAACUGAAGCUAAUACCGGAAAAGAGCUCCUGCUGCAAGGUGGGGGCGGGAAAGUUUCGGUGGUUGGGGAGGGACUCGCGGCUCAUCAGCUUGUUGGUGGGGUAGUGGCUUACCAAGGCAUGGACGGGUGGCCGGGCUGAGAGGGGGACAGGCCACAUUGGGACGGAGAUACGGCACAGACUCGUACGGGAGGCAGGGGUGGAGAAUAGUGUACUAUGGGCGGAAGGAUGAUGUGGCAACGCCGCGUGCGGGAUGACAGGCAGCGGGUUGUAAACCGAUUCCGCCUGUGACGGGGCGUGAGUGACGGUACUGGGUAAAGAAGCACCGGCUAACUACGUG